This 985-nucleotide ribosomal RNA is filed under the name metagenome. RNAcentral's name for it is "bacterial LSU rRNA". It matches the Rfam family "Bacterial large subunit ribosomal RNA", at positions 1942 to 2925 of the family's 2925-position model. The record is from RNAcentral.
AUAACGGUCCUAAGGUAGCGAAAUUCCUUGUCAGGUAAGUUCUGACCCGCACGAAUGGCGUAAUGAUUUGGGCACUGUCUCAACAGCCCGCCCGGCGAAAUUGUAGUACUGGUGAAGAUGCCAGUUACCCGCAACUAGACGGAAAGACCCCAUGGAGCUUUACUGCAGCUUAAUACUGAAAUUCGGUAGUACAUGUACAGGAUAGGUGGGAGACUGAGAAAUACAGGCGUCAGCUUGUAUGGAGUCGCUGUUGGGAUACCACUCUUGUACUGCUGGGUUUCUAACCUGCGGCCGUGAAUCCGGUCGGGGGACACUGUUAGGCGGGCAGUUUGACUGGGGCGGUCGCCUCCCAAAAGGUAACGGAGGCGCUCAAAGGUUCGUUCAGCACGGACGGAAAUCGUGCAAUGAGUGUAAACGCAUAAACGAGCCUAACUGCGACACCGACGGGUGGAGCAGUAACGAAAGUUGGAGUUAGUGAUCCGGUGGUAUGUGAGUGGAAAUGCCAUCGCUCAACGGAUAAAAGCUACCCUGGGGAUAACAGGCUGAUCUCCCCCAAGCGUCCACAGCGACGGGGAGGUUUGGCACCUCGAUGUCGGCUCGUCGCAUCCUGGGGCUGAAUUCGGUCCCAAGGGUUUGGCUGUUCGCCAAUUAAAGCGGCACGCGAGCUGGGUUCAGAACGUCGUGAGACAGUUCGGUCCCUAUCUGUUGCGGGCGUAAGAGAUUUGAAGGGAGCUGUCCUUAGUACGAGAGGACCGGGAUGGACGUACCUCUGGUGCACCAGUUGUCCUGCCAAGGGCAUAGCUGGGUAGCUAUGUACGGACGAGAUAAACGCUGAAAGCAUCUAAGCGUGAAACUCCCCCUAAGAUGAGAUCUCUCAUCCUUCAAGGAGUAAGGACCCAGAAAGACGAUCUGGUUGAUAGGCCGAAGGUGGAAGCGCAGUAAUGUGUGCAGCUGAUCGGUACUAAUAGUCCGAGGGCUUGACCUA